RNAcentral lists this long non-coding RNA (1523 nucleotides) under Manacus vitellinus (golden-collared manakin). RNAcentral describes it as "lncRNA (ENSMVIG00005017386.1)". Lineage: Eukaryota; Metazoa; Chordata; Aves; Passeriformes; Pipridae. The record is from RNAcentral.
CAUCGACGAAGUCGUUGACAAACUUUAUGGCUCCAAAGUCAGAGAAUACUUUGAAGAGAACAACGUUCAGCACAAAAUCCUCGCCCUGCCCACCACCGAAGAAACAAAAUCCAUGGACCUGGUCUUGAACAUCCUGCAAGAAGUCCAAGACUUCAGCAUCGACAGGCGAACCGAGCCCAUCAUCGCCAUCGGAGGGGGCGUCUGCCUGGACAUCGUGGGACUCGCCGCGUCGCUCUACCGACGACGCACCCCCUACAUUCGGGUCCCAACAACCCUCCUCUCCUACGUUGAUGCCAGCGUGGGGGCGAAGACCGGGGUGAAUUUCCUGCAGUGUAAGAACAAGCUCGGGGGCUACACCCCCCCGGUAGCCAGUUUCCUGGAUAGAUCCUUCAUCCAGAGCAUUCCCCGGCGGCACAUCUCCAACGGCCUCGGGGAAAUCUUAAAGAUGGCCCUUAUGAAACACAAAGGGCUGUUUGACCUGCUCAAGACCCAUGGAAAAUACCUUCUGGACACCAAGUUCCAGUCCUGCAGCAGCUUUGCUGACCACGGGGAUGCUGCACUGCAGACCACCAGGAUUGCCAUUGAAACCAUGUUGGAGGAGCUGGCUCCCAACCUCUGGGAGGAUGACCUGGACAGACUGGUUGAUUUUGGUCACGUUAUAAGUCCAGAGCUGGAAAUGAGGGUUUUGCCGUCGCUGAUGCACGGGGAGGCUGUGAACGUCGACAUGGCAUUCAUGACGUACGUGGCCCACGCGCGGGGGCUCAUCGCCGCCGAGGAGAGGGAGCAGAUCCUCCAGUGCAUGAGGGGCCUGGAGCUGCCGGUCUGGCACAGCGGCUGCAGCUGGGCCCUCAUCAAGACAGCCCUGAGGGAGCGCCUGAAGCACAGCGGGGGACAGCCCCGGAUGCCUCUGCCCACCGGCCUCGGCGUAGCAGAGAUAUUCAAUGACACCAGUGAAGAGACCCUGGAGAAAGCAUACAAGCUGUGGGUCAGGGACUGCAGGACGGUGCUGGAGGAAGAGCCGGCUGCUCUCUGAUUGCUGCGAGCCCAAGUUGAUGUCCUGCCCCACACCUGUUUGCCCACACUUGUUUGCCACUGUAAAUUAGUGAGCAGAACUGAAUUUUAAACAUAAACAGAGAAGCACCUGUGAAACUGCAUACACCCCAGAGCAUGGAACAAGAGGAAUCUUGGCAUCUAACCCCAUUUACCUUUUUCAAUUGCUUUGUUUGAAAGGGAAUCUAUCAAUGCUCAAGAAGUGAACACUCACAAGUGAAACCACCAAGUGCCUGUAGUGUAGUUCAUAGCAAGCUGUCUCCUCUUGGGGAAUGUGAGCAGGAUUAUUCAUUCAUUUGGUUAAUCCAAGCUGGGGGCUGCCAAGGCCCUUCCCAGUGGUAUCCUACCCUUGCUUGUGCUUGGACCCCUGAUGGGGGUAGGUGUAGCUGACUCACAGCCAUGGCAAGGGUAUAGCUGGCUCACAGACCAUGGCAUGACACCAUGCAAAAUCUCCAUGUUCUGCAAAAUUAUCU